GCCCUUUCGUUCAGGCGCCGGAAGCCCUAUAUCAGGGGUGCCACCCAGCAAUGGGCGGCUAUGGUGAUAAAAUGCCAUCGUAAUAAACCUUUCGGACCCGGGGGCAGUACCCGGCGCCUCCACCAAAGAUUGCACGAAAUGCAAGCUUUGAUGGGGGCGAACUAGGAUCGACGAGGGUGUAAAGGAUGGAGCUUUGCCCGUGAUGGUUCCGACGUUAUCGGGCUAAACAAGUAGUUGCAAAUGACAACUAUGCUCCGGUACGUCUCGCUGCUUAAUGCAGUGCGAAUGCCGAAAUCAAAGUCCUAAGGCUUAGCAGUUUUAGGCGGGGUCCGCCGGCACCUGGCAACAGAAGCCGGCACU
RNAcentral lists this transfer-messenger RNA (360 nucleotides) under Aestuariivirga sp. It matches the Rfam family "Alphaproteobacteria transfer-messenger RNA". From Rfam's summary of the family: Bacterial tmRNA, also known as 10Sa RNA or SsrA, is named for its dual tRNA and mRNA-like properties. Lineage: Bacteria; Pseudomonadati; Pseudomonadota; Alphaproteobacteria; Hyphomicrobiales; Aestuariivirgaceae. The record is from RNAcentral.